Long non-coding RNA from Mytilus californianus (California mussel), 248 nucleotides. RefSeq lists it as uncharacterized. The record is from RefSeq and is a predicted model, not a curated record. The transcript has 3 exons. Lineage: Eukaryota; Metazoa; Mollusca; Bivalvia; Mytilida; Mytilidae.
UUGGUCAAUGGUUUCAUGUGACUAUAGGAUGCUAGAUGCUGACCCACAACAUUCGCCAUCUUGCUGAAUUUAUUUAGAUCCAAACCACAAUUUUUGUUCGCCUCAAUUUUCAUUGUUUUCAGUCGAAACACAAAAGACAUGACUUCCGAUUCAAGAACUGUUUUUGGAGCAACAUCAUCCAGACCAGAACUUCAGUGUCCAGCUGCAGCAACUGUACAACAGUUUGAUGAUAGGGAAUGGAAAUCCAA